CCCUUAGAUGUCCUGGGCUGCACGCGCGCUACACUGAUGCGUCCAAUAAGCACCUAACCUAAUCCGAAGGGACCGGGUAACCUUAGCAAAGCGCAUCGUGAUGGGGAUAGAUUAUUGCAAUUAUUAGCCUUGAACGAGGAAUUCCUAGUAAGCGCAAGUCAUCAGCUUGUGUUGAUUACGUCCCUGCCCUUUGUACACACCGCCCGUCGCUCCUACCGAUUGAGUGAUCCGGCGAAUACUUCGGACUGCAACCGGUGCGGUUUCCGUACCCUUUGCAAAAAGUUGAAUAAACCUUAUCACUUAGAGGAAGGAGAAGUCGUAACA
Molecule: ribosomal RNA, 324 nt
Filed under: uncultured eukaryote
Lineage: Eukaryota
Description: partial 18S ribosomal RNA
Rfam family: Eukaryotic small subunit ribosomal RNA
Source: RNAcentral